This 48-nucleotide ribosomal RNA is filed under the name Isaria japonica. Its description in RNAcentral is "partial 28S ribosomal RNA". RNAcentral also lists the same sequence under 1 other name. The record is from RNAcentral. Lineage: Eukaryota; Fungi; Ascomycota; Sordariomycetes; Hypocreales; Cordycipitaceae.
GUUGACCUCGGAUCAGGUAGGACUACCCGCUGAACUUAAGCAUAUCAA